Molecule: regulatory RNA element, 80 nt
Rfam family: L17 ribosomal protein downstream element
Source: Rfam
AGAGUGUUAUGAUGUUGGUUAGUUGUUUUUCCAAGUCUAGCUCGACGGUUGUCACAAUAGUGGACUUUUGCCCUAUUGUG